AACGAACGCUGGCGGCAGGCUUAACACAUGCAAGUCGAACGGAUCCUUCGGGAUUAGAGGCAGACGGGUGAGUAACGCGUGGGAACGUACCCUUUGCUACGGAAUAACUCAGGGAAACUUGAGCUAAUACCGUAUGUGCCCUACGGGGGAAAGAUUUAUCGGCAAAGGAUCGGCCCGCGUUGGAUUAGCUAGUUGGUGGGGUAAUGGCCUACCAAGGCGACGAUCCAUAGCUGGUCUGAGAGGAUGAUCAGCCACACUGGGACUGAGACACGGCCCAGACUCCUACGGGAGGCAGCAGUGGGGAAUAUUGGACAAUGGGCGCAAGCCUGAUCCAGCCAUGCCGCGUGAGUGAUGAAGGUCUUAGGAUUGUAAAGCUCUUUCACCGGUGAAGAUAAUGACGGUAGCCGGAGAAGAAGCCCCGGCUAACUUCGUG
RNAcentral lists this ribosomal RNA (433 nucleotides) under uncultured bacterium. RNAcentral's name for it is "partial 16S ribosomal RNA". It matches the Rfam family "Bacterial small subunit ribosomal RNA", at positions 29 to 507 of the family's 1533-position model. The record is from RNAcentral.